This 29-nucleotide small RNA is filed under the name Bombyx mori (domestic silkworm). RNAcentral describes it as "ovarian small RNA-15005". Lineage: Eukaryota; Metazoa; Arthropoda; Insecta; Lepidoptera; Bombycidae. The record is from RNAcentral.
CUUGAUUAACGGCUGCCGAUGAUGGCACU